Molecule: RNA transcript, 1628 nt
Organism: Asparagus officinalis (garden asparagus)
Lineage: Eukaryota; Viridiplantae; Streptophyta; Magnoliopsida; Asparagales; Asparagaceae
Exons: 6
Source: RefSeq, a predicted model, not a curated record
UAACGCCCAGCACUCUUUCUUCCAUAUGUUAUCCGCUCUCUCCCCUGCUCCUCUCCCUCUCUCUUUCUCUAAAAAUUAAUUCGACGUUUAGCCUCCUCGCUUUAGGUGCCUCCGUUUCUCAAUGACAACGCUCUUUCUAUAUUCCUCCUUAAUCGCUCUCUCCUCGGCCCCUCUUUCCCAUCUCUCUCUAAAUUAUUUCGACGAUCGAUCUCCUCACUUUAAUUUCUUUCGUUUUCAACCGUUGACAAUGUAUACGUCCUUCCCUUAGAAGAUUCUUCCGUUACUAUAAUUGGUAAUAACUGCUAGGGCUUUCUGAUCCCCAUCCCCAUCACCAAUCCCCAAAGACUAAAAUUUAGGUUAUUUUGUGAUUCUAUAAAUACAUACUGCUUCAACUUUGAUGGAGCAAAGAAGGUGUUUAUUUCCAAUUGGGUCCGAGAUUGAUAGGAGGAGUAGAAAGCUAUCAAGUGUCUCAGAAUAUCCAUUCUCGACCAAAUGCCUUUGAUAUGUCCAACCAAAUCCCUUUGAUUGGAGAUGUUAUUUCUGUCCAGCCCCCUGCAAUUUGGUUGAAUGUUCAGGUAUCUUAACGCAUAAUAGAAUGCCAAGAUUUGAACAUAACCAGAUUAAUUUAUAAAUUGCAUUAUGUUCGUUUACAUAGCCUGAUUUGGAACUAUGGGACAACAUGUUAUAGUUGCACAUCAUCAAAUAUCCUUGAUAUAAGUAUUCACAUAGGUUAAGUGCUUCUUAGAAAGAAAAACUAAACACCAUCAUAAUGAAGAACUACCUUAAGUUUGAACAUAGUCUGCUGCAAUAAUGUCAACUUGAACUAUUUAGGAUAUAUUAGAUGUUGAUCAUGAGAAUUAUCAAUGAACAUCAGUUCAGAUACUUUGUUAAUUGUUUCCAUAAUUAGCUAGCCCUCUGGACACAUGACAUUGUUUCGAUAAGUGAUGGUUAUGAUAUAUUCUUGUGUUAAAGCUUAAAAUGGAAUAUUCUUUGCAUUUAAGAUAUUUUCCUUUUUUUUAAUAUUCUGGUAGUGUGUAUAAUUGUAACAUAGGUAUGCUUGUGUACUGAGUACUUAUGAUUAUUCAGAUUGAUAUGACUCACUACAUAGUAGAUAUUUUUGUUUUGGAAGCAUGUUGGUUAACUUGUUUUAUUUUGCUAAUAUCAGCUUGGGAAUAAUCUGAACAGGCGCUUUGCAUUUUGGGGAGAAUCGAUUUUGAUGCUCCCUUUUGCUAUUCUAGGCUUAAUCAUGAAGCCUUUAGAGCUAAAAGAUAUGGCAAUCUAAGCAGGGAAUAUAGAUACCUCUUCUGGAUAGAAAUUUUGAACAUUACCAGUUGAAGUGAAUGGAACAAGUUCUUUGUGGACAAAGAUGGAAAAGUCAUGGAAAGAUAUGCUCCGACAACAUCACCUUUGAAAAUGGAGGAAUUUAAGUGCCUUCUUUGAGGGACUGUAUUGCUCGUGAUGCGAGUAUGUGAUCUUAUGUACGCAUAAAGGGAUGCUUCUUCUAGAAAACUUGUAUAUUGCUGGAAAUUCAUUAGCUUUUUGUUGUAUGUGAGAAAUAUUGUUUAUUUUAAUUAUUGGCUUUCAACAAUAAAGCUAUGUUUGCAAGCUAUCUGUUAACUCUUUUUUAC